GGACCAUCAAUUUGACCAGCAACCAACGGCUAAAGGUUCAACUCUUCACCAUGAUUAUAUGGUGUGAGAACAGCAUGCCAAGAUGUUCCAGUGGAUACUGCAUUAAUAAAAACAAUGGAUUUUGUGAUGGCAUUGAAGAUUGCUGGGAUGGAGAAGAUGAAGCAACUUGUGAUUGUGAAAUAUCCCAUCCCACUGAUUGCUCGUCAGUAGUGACCCUCACUGGAAGCAAGUAUAGAAAUCCUUGCCAAGGCUCUCUU
Long non-coding RNA from Hypanus sabinus (Atlantic stingray), 257 nucleotides. RefSeq lists it as uncharacterized. The record is from RefSeq and is a predicted model, not a curated record. Lineage: Eukaryota; Metazoa; Chordata; Chondrichthyes; Myliobatiformes; Dasyatidae. The transcript has 3 exons.